AAGAUGCAGGCUUCCCGCGGUUAGACGGAAAGACCCCGUGCACCUUUACUACAGCUUCGCACUGGCAUCAGGAUUGUGACGUGCAGGAUAGGUGGUAGGCAUCGAAACCGUGACGCUAGUCGCGGUGGAGCCUCCCUUGAGAUACCACCCUUCGCACUCUUGAUGUCUAACCGCGGUCCGUUAUCCGGAUCCGGGACCCUGCGUGGCGGGUAGUUUGACUGGGGCGGUCGCCCCCUAAAGCGUAACGGAGGCGCGCGAAGGGUGGCUCA
RNAcentral lists this non-coding RNA (269 nucleotides) under Pseudoalteromonas citrea. Its description in RNAcentral is "partial 23S ribosomal RNA". It matches the Rfam family "Bacterial large subunit ribosomal RNA", at positions 2056 to 2324 of the family's 2925-position model. Lineage: Bacteria; Pseudomonadati; Pseudomonadota; Gammaproteobacteria; Alteromonadales; Pseudoalteromonadaceae. The record is from RNAcentral.